This 637-nucleotide ribosomal RNA is filed under the name Microbacterium sp. So1Ps_692. RNAcentral's name for it is "bacterial SSU rRNA". It matches the Rfam family "Bacterial small subunit ribosomal RNA", at positions 381 to 1029 of the family's 1533-position model. Lineage: Bacteria; Bacillati; Actinomycetota; Actinomycetes; Micrococcales; Microbacteriaceae. RNAcentral also lists the same sequence under 3 other names. The record is from RNAcentral.
GCCUGAUGCAGCAACGCCGCGUGAGGGACGACGGCCUUCGGGUUGUAAACCUCUUUUAGCAAGGAAGAAGCGAAAGUGACGGUACUUGCAGAAAAAGCGCCGGCUAACUACGUGCCAGCAGCCGCGGUAAUACGUAGGGCGCAAGCGUUAUCCGGAAUUAUUGGGCGUAAAGAGCUCGUAGGCGGUUUGUCGCGUCUGCUGUGAAAACCCGAGGCUCAACCUCGGGCCUGCAGUGGGUACGGGCAGACUAGAGUGCGGUAGGGGAGAUUGGAAUUCCUGGUGUAGCGGUGGAAUGCGCAGAUAUCAGGAGGAACACCGAUGGCGAAGGCAGAUCUCUGGGCCGUAACUGACGCUGAGGAGCGAAAGGGUGGGGAGCAAACAGGCUUAGAUACCCUGGUAGUCCACCCCGUAAACGUUGGGAACUAGUUGUGGGGUCCAUUCCACGGAUUCCGUGACGCAGCUAACGCAUUAAGUUCCCCGCCUGGGGAGUACGGCCGCAAGGCUAAAACUCAAAGGAAUUGACGGGGACCCGCACAAGCGGCGGAGCAUGCGGAUUAAUUCGAUGCAACGCGAAGAACCUUACCAAGGCUUGACAUAUACGAGAACGCUGCAGAAAUGUAGAACUCUUUGGACACUC